CAUGGAACCUUGUGGAAGAACCUAGCAGUUAGUGUUCAGACUAACUGUUUUACUGACGGGUAUGAAACAGCAAUAGAAACCCACGACAGGAUGAGCAGUGGGAUUGCUGCCACAGGGUGCUACCAAGCUUGUUUUUGUAAAAAAUGGAGGUAUUCAGCAGCAAACUUGAAUGCAUGGAGUUGGCGUGGAGGUGUACACACAGUUCCUGUUAAAAACCUGGGUUCAAGAGACGGAGGCAGGAGGAGCCCAAGCUUAAUCCUCUAUCUCAAAAUCAAAAACAAAAACGAUACAAUUCAAAAGCCUGGCCUUUCUCCAUCGUCGUGUGUGCCUUAUACACUAUUGACUUUGAGCUCUUCAACCCACGGACCAUGCUCUGACCUGGCUAGCCCUUCCCUUCUGAGGCAUCUCAGCCAGAAGACUGUGCAGAGAGCGCCACUGGAAGACUCCACCUCUUCAGUUGUGGGAGACACAGAGAAAAGCACGUACCAUGCUCACUACAGCUCCAAGGACUUCUGCACAGAGCCAAGCCCCAUUUAUCCCAUCCUGGCACCCCAUGACGGUUUGAAGUUUCAAGCCAAGACUACACUUAAAAGGAAAACAAAACCAGAUCAGGUGGGCCAACACCUAGGAUCCAGAACUAUACUGGAUCAGUGUAUCAGUAAAUACUUCAUAAACGUUUAACUGAGUAUUCAGGAGUCAAUAUAAUAGCACUCUACAAAAAAUAGUAGCUUCCCCCUGCUGGAGAUAAGAGAAAAAUAUCUUGAUAAAGACUAUAUUAAAAAUAUAUCAAUGCA
This is a long non-coding RNA of Mastomys coucha (southern multimammate mouse), 794 nucleotides long. RefSeq lists it as uncharacterized. The transcript is spliced from 2 exons. Lineage: Eukaryota; Metazoa; Chordata; Mammalia; Rodentia; Muridae. The record is from RefSeq and is a predicted model, not a curated record.